This 451-nucleotide ribosomal RNA is filed under the name uncultured bacterium. RNAcentral's name for it is "partial 16S ribosomal RNA". It matches the Rfam family "Bacterial small subunit ribosomal RNA", at positions 354 to 796 of the family's 1533-position model. The record is from RNAcentral.
GUGGGGAAUAUUGGACAAUGGGGGGAACCCUGAUCCAGCCAUGCCGCGUGUGUGAAGAAGGCCUUUUGGUUGUAAAGCACUUUAAGCGAGGAGGAGGCUACCGAGAUUAAUACUCUUGGAUAGUGGACGUUACUCGCAGAAUAAGCACCGGCUAACUCUGUGCCAGCAGCCGCGGUAAUACAGAGGGUGCAAGCGUUAAUCGGAUUUACUGGGCGUAAAGCGCGCGUAGGUGGCCAAUUAAGUCAAAUGUGAAAUCCCCGAGCUUAACUUGGGAAUUGCAUUCGAUACUGGUUAGCUAGAGUAUGGGAGAGGAUGGUAGAAUUCCAGGUGUAGCGGUGAAAUGCGUAGAGAUCUGGAGGAAUACCGAUGGCGAAGGCAGCCAUCUGGCCUAAUACUGACACUGAGGUGCGAAAGCAUGGGGAGCAAACAGGAUUAGAUACCCCGGUAGUCC